This 78-nucleotide transfer RNA is filed under the name Bacteroidaceae bacterium. RNAcentral describes it as "tRNA-Leu". It matches the Rfam family "tRNA". From Rfam's summary of the family: Transfer RNA (tRNA) molecules are approximately 80 nucleotides in length. Their secondary structure includes four short double-helical elements and three loops (D, anti-codon, and T loops). Further hydrogen bonds mediate the characteristic L-shaped molecular structure. tRNAs have two regions of fundamental functional importance: the anti-codon, which is responsible for specific mRNA codon recognition, and the 3' end, to which the tRNAs corresponding amino acid is attached (by aminoacyl-tRNA synthetases). tRNAs cope with the degeneracy of the genetic code in two manners: having more than one tRNA (with a specific anti-codon) for a particular amino acid; and 'wobble' base-pairing, i.e. permitting non-standard base-pairing at the 3rd anti-codon position. The record is from RNAcentral. Lineage: Bacteria; Pseudomonadati; Bacteroidota; Bacteroidia; Bacteroidales; Bacteroidaceae.
GCUCGAAUGGCGGGAAGCGAGGGACUUAAAAUCCCUUGGGCAGUAACGCCUGUGCGGGUUCGAGUCCCGCUUCGAGCA